UGAGUGCAUAGACAGAGCCCUCUCUAGCCUG
Molecule: non-coding RNA, 31 nt
Filed under: Rattus norvegicus (Norway rat)
Lineage: Eukaryota; Metazoa; Chordata; Mammalia; Rodentia; Muridae
Source: RNAcentral